CCUACGGGAGGCAGCAGUGAGGAAUAUUGCUCAAUGGGCGCGAGCCUGAACCAGCCAAGUCGCGUGAGGGAAGCCGGUCCUAUGGAUUGUAAAUCCCUUUAGUUGGGGAGCAAAAGACGCCACGCGUGGCGUUCCGAGAGUACCCGAAGAAAAAGCAUCGGAUAACUCCGGUCCAGCACCAGCGGUAAUACGGGGGAUGCGAGGUUUAUCCGGAUUUAUUGGGUUUAACGGGUCCGCGGCGGGACGAUAAAGUCAGCGGUAAAAUUGAGGGGCUCAACCUCUUCGAGACGUUGAAACUGGUUUUCUUGAGUGAGUGAGAAGUAUGCAGAAUGCGUGGUGUAGCGGUGAAAUGCAUAGAGAUCUCGCAGAACUCCGAUUGCGAAGGCAGCAUACCGGCGCUCAACUGACGCUCAUGCACGAAAGUGUGGGUAUCGAACAGGAUUAGAUACCCGUGUAGUC
RNAcentral lists this ribosomal RNA (459 nucleotides) under uncultured bacterium. RNAcentral's name for it is "partial 16S ribosomal RNA". It matches the Rfam family "Bacterial small subunit ribosomal RNA", at positions 338 to 795 of the family's 1533-position model. The record is from RNAcentral.